RNAcentral lists this unclassified non-coding RNA (400 nucleotides) under soil metagenome. RNAcentral's name for it is "partial contains 5.8S ribosomal RNA, internal transcribed spacer 2, and large subunit ribosomal RNA". The stretch from base 1 to 122 matches the Rfam family "5.8S ribosomal RNA", at positions 35 to 154 of the family's 154-position model. The record is from RNAcentral.
GAUGAAGAACGCAGCGAAAUGCGAUACUUGGUGUGAAUUGCAGAAUCCCGUGAACCAUCGAGUCUUUGAACGCAAGUUGCGCCUCAAGCCAUUAGGUUGAGGGCACGUCUGCCUGGGCGUCACAUAUCGUUGCCUGAUGCCAGUUUCCUCGUGAUGGGUGACUGUGCAGGGCGAAUGAUGGUUUCCCGUGAGCAUUGUUGCCUCAUGGUUGGUUGAAAAUUGAGUCCUUGGUAGGGAGCGCCGUGAUAGAUGGUGGUUGAGUGACGAACGAGACCCAAUCAUGUGAGACCCCUACCGAAUUUGGCCUUCAUGACCCACAUGCGUCUUUGGAACGCUCAUGACGAGACCUCAGGUCAGGCGGGGCUACCCGCUGAGUUUAAGCAUAUCAAUAAGCGGAGGA